RNAcentral lists this ribosomal RNA (305 nucleotides) under uncultured bacterium. RNAcentral's name for it is "bacterial SSU rRNA". It matches the Rfam family "Bacterial small subunit ribosomal RNA", at positions 335 to 637 of the family's 1533-position model. The record is from RNAcentral.
UCCCUACGGGGGGCAGCAGUGAGGAAUAUUGGUCAGUGGGCGGAAGCCUGAACCAGCCAAGUCGCGUGAGGGAAUAAGGCCCUACGGGUCGUAAACCUCUUUUGCCGGGGAGCAAGGGCGGGGACGUGUCCCGGCCCGGAGAGUACCCGGAGAAAAAGCAUCGGCUAACUCCGUGCCAGCAGCCGCGGUAAUACGGAGGUGGCAAGCGUUGUCCGGAUUUACUGGGUGUAAAGGGCGUGUAGCCGGGCCGGCAAGUCAGAUGUGAAAUCCCAAGGCUCAACCUUGGAACUGCAUUUGAAACUGUU